Long non-coding RNA from Gallus gallus (chicken), 1711 nucleotides. The record is from Ensembl. Lineage: Eukaryota; Metazoa; Chordata; Aves; Galliformes; Phasianidae.
ACUUUGUGCAUAAAAAUACCAGGCUGUUAAUCCUAGAAAGUACUGAUGCAUUUUGAACAUUUGCUUCAGGACUUUUACUGCAAAUGUUGCCCAAGGAAGUAAUGCACUCAAUUCUAAUGUAACACAUAGAAGUUAUCCAGAGAAAGCUCCUUGGGAAAAUCAUAGGAAGUGGGAAAAAUUGAACUUUGGAGGUUGUUACAGCUGUGUGAGAUAGUUGGCCUUUCUUUCAUUCUUUAGAGAACUCCCCAGUAGCUUAAAGAUGUUAGAACACUUUAGGUAGUUGACUUCUGGGUCAAAUUCUCCAUAUGCCCUUCUGGAAGUGGUGCUUCUGUAAAACAAUAUUGCACUUUAGUGGAUAUUUAAGUUAUUCUGAAGCUUAGCAGCAGCAUGGUGUGGCAUUAUUGUAUGCUUUAUUUUGAACCUUGAACACUUUCAGUACCUAAAACCACAUGGGAAGUGCGACGAUGGUACCUGCUGUGUGACCACUGGAUUUUCCUGUUGAAAUUCCCAUUCCUGGUUCCUAUGCAGGGCCGCUUCACCUCCACGCACAUGUAAGAAGUGAGAGCAAGGUCCAUUCUGAGCUGAACACCAGUGAGGCACCAUGCUUAAGUAAUCAUGAAAUCAGCGCAUCCUGAGGCCAGCUGUAACUUAGAAAGUACCAUAAUCAGAUGGAAGUAUCCUUAAGUUGAGCCAGUGAGUCUGUAGGGAGCAUUGCACUGCAACUUAAACGUCCGUAUGUGCAGCAAACCUGAACCCCUCUGUGAAAUGGGAGAGUGAAUGGUAGCAUUUAACUGCUCAUAAACCACGGACAUUAUUUUAUAGGAAAAUGUCCAGGUGGCAAACCUGCCCCUCUCUGAACACCCUGGCAGCUCCAUCACUGAAGCCAGUCCUUGAACCCCUUUUAUUCUAGGAAUUAUGACUGGAUAAACAUAUUUGUAUACAUCGUCUUCAGAAGUGCUGUCAGCAGGGGACUGCAGCAGCUCUCUGAGCUCAUCCAGAGACUGAUUGGAAUUCCCUGCUCAUAGCAUUUGCAGGUUCAAUAUCAUUAUUGUUAAUGGUCACUGUGUGUGUGGCUCCAGAUGAAAACAGCCACCACGUGUUGGAUUGCCCACAGCCAAGCCAUCCCAGCACCACGCUCUUGCUGUGCCAAGCUGAGUGUGAGGACAUGGCACACCGGCCCUGCCGUGUCAGUGGUGGGGAUGCACACUGCAAUGAAGUGUCAAGCUGCUUCCACAGGCUGCUUGGAGAGCACAGCUUCAUUUCUCACUAUGGAAACAGUACAGCCAAAGGAACAUGGCACAAAUUACACUAUCAUUGAAAGAAUUGGAUUGGAUCUUUCCAAAAUGGUGUUUUCCAUGUACUCACCCCAGGUCUGGUUUACCCCACCCCAGCAAGUUGGGAUGCAGUUGGUCCCACAGCGGGUGUUCCAGCCCCGGCAGCUGGAGGCUUGCUCAGACUGUCUGUGCUCCAUCCAACGGACUGGAACAGAAAGCCCUUCUGUGGUUCUGGGAAGUUCCGUCAUAGAAAACAAGGCUGAGCAAGGCUCUUGAGGAGUGACGCUAACAAGCAUGGCCCUUAAAGGCAAUUAAGAUAAAUUAGUUGCGUGAUAGCUUCAUGCUGCAGCCUUGAGCUCUGUAUGCCUUGGGAUAUAACAAAUGAAUUUCUCUCUGUUUAUUAAGUCUGUAAGCCAUCAGUAAAUACACAAUUGCAG